GGGGGAUUAGCACGGUUAGCUAGAGUGUUUGCAUAGCAUGCAAAAGGUCAUCGGUUCGAGCCCUAUAUUCUCUAC
RNAcentral lists this transfer RNA (75 nucleotides) under Bacteroides thetaiotaomicron. Its description in RNAcentral is "tRNA-Ala". It matches the Rfam family "tRNA". Rfam says of the family: Transfer RNA (tRNA) molecules are approximately 80 nucleotides in length. Lineage: Bacteria; Pseudomonadati; Bacteroidota; Bacteroidia; Bacteroidales; Bacteroidaceae. The record is from RNAcentral.